GAGUUUGAUCCUGGCUCAGGAUGAACGCUAGCGGCAGGCUUAAUACAUGCAAGUCGAGGGGCAGCGCGGGUAGCAAUACUUGGCGGCGACCGGCAAACGGGUGCGGAACACGUACGCAACCUUCCCAAAACUGGGGAAUAGCCCUCCGAAAGGAGGAUUAAUACCCCGUAACACAAUUAAGAGGCAUCUCUUGAUUGUUAUAGCUCAGGCGGUUUUGGAUGGGCGUGCGGCUGAUUAGGUAGUUGGCGGGGUAACGGCCCACCAAGCCAUCGAUCAGUAACUGGUGUGAGAGCACGACCAGUCACACGGGCACUGAGACACGGGCCCGACUCCUACGGGAGGCAGCAGUAAGGAAUAUUGGUCAAUGGACGCAAGUCUGAACCAGCCAUGCCGCGUGAAGGAUGAAGGCCCUCUGGGUUGUAAACUUCUUUUAUCUGGGACGAAAAAAGGGGAUUCUUCCUCACUUGACGGUACCAGAGGAAUAAGCACCGGCUAACUCCGUGCCAGCAGCCGCGGUAAUACGGAGGGUGCAAGCGUUAUCCGGAUUCACUGGGUUUAAAGGGUGCGUAGGUGGGCAGGUAAGUCAGUGGUGAAAUCUUCGAGCUUAACUCGGAAACUGCCAUUGAUACUAUCUGUCUUGAAUAUCCUGGAGGUGAGCGGAAUAUGUCAUGUAGCGGUGAAAUGCUUAGAUAUGACAUAGAACACCAAUUGCGAAGGCAGCUCACUACGGGAUGAUUGACGCUGAGGCACGAAAGCGUGGGGAUCAAACAGGAUUAGAUACCCUGGUAGUCCACGCCCUAAACGAUGGAUACUCGACAUAUGCGAUACACUGUAUGUGUCUGAGCGAAAGCAUUAAGUAUCCCACCUGGGAAGUAUGACCGCAAGGUGAACUCAAGGAAUUGACGGGGGUC
Molecule: ribosomal RNA, 911 nt
Filed under: uncultured bacterium
Lineage: Bacteria
Description: bacterial SSU rRNA
Rfam family: Bacterial small subunit ribosomal RNA
Source: RNAcentral